ACCUGCGGAAGGAUCAUUAACAGGUAUGGACACCUGCCCUAGGGCAAGUGUGCCAUAUUCAUCCUUGUGUUGUGUAUACGAGUGAUGCGUGUGCAUAUGCUUCUGUGUGUGCACGUGCACCUUUUUUUCACCCAUUAUCAUACAAUUCUGAAACAAUUUGUGGUGCUCGCAAGAGCCCACGACAACAACCGAAAACUGCCAGCAAUGGAUCACUCGGUUCUCGCAUCGAUGAAGAGCGUAGCGAAUUGCGAAAAGUAAUGUGAUUUGCAACAUUCGUGAAUCAUUGAAUCCUUGAACGCACAUUGCACCGUGUGGGCAACUGCACGGUCUGCCUGUCUGAGUAUUGACUAGAACUCUUCUCAGCCCACGGGCUGGAUGAUGGAUGCUGCACCGCCCUGUGUGGUGGCAUCUGCAAGACACGAAGCGCUGGUGUAUCCGCAAGUGCUCAUGAUCUCGAGGCAAUCUUGCCAAGCGGUUCAUGUAGUAUGCGCGUGGCAGCAGUGGACAUCAGUCAACACACUUUCUCAUGCAAUCUCAGAUCAGGUAGGAGUACCCGCUUAACUUAAGCAUAUCAGUCAGCGGAGGAAAAGAAAC
RNAcentral lists this ribosomal RNA (594 nucleotides) under uncultured Saccharomycotina. RNAcentral describes it as "eukaryotic LSU rRNA". The stretch from base 194 to 346 matches the Rfam family "5.8S ribosomal RNA". Lineage: Eukaryota; Fungi; Ascomycota. The record is from RNAcentral.